AUUGAACGCUGGCGGCAGGCCUAACACAUGCAAGUCGAACGGUAACAGGAAGAAGCUUGCUUCUUUGCUGACGAGUGGCGGACGGGUGAGUAAUGUCUGGGAAACUGCCUGAUGGAGGGGGAUAACUACUGGAAACGGUAGCUAAUACCGCAUAACGUCGCAAGACCAAAGAGGGGGACCUUCGGGCCUCUUGCCAUCGGAUGUGCCCAGGUGGGAUUAGCUAGUAGGUGGGGUAACUGCUCACCUAGGCGAGGAUCCCUAGCUGGACUGAGAGGAUGACGAGCCACACUGGAACUGAGACACGGUCCAGACUCCUGCGGGAGGCAGCAGUGGGGAAUAUUGCACAAUGGGCGCAAGCUUGAUGCAGCCAUGCCGCGUGUAUGAAGAAGGCCUUCGGGUUGUAAAGUACUUUCAGCGGGGAGGAAGGGAGUAAAGUUAAUACCUUUGCUCAUUGACGUUACCCGCAGAAGAAGCACCGGCUAACUCCGUG
Molecule: ribosomal RNA, 490 nt
Filed under: uncultured bacterium
Lineage: Bacteria
Description: partial 16S ribosomal RNA
Rfam family: Bacterial small subunit ribosomal RNA
Source: RNAcentral